RNAcentral lists this unclassified non-coding RNA (342 nucleotides) under soil metagenome. RNAcentral's name for it is "partial contains 5.8S ribosomal RNA, internal transcribed spacer 2, and large subunit ribosomal RNA". The stretch from base 1 to 120 matches the Rfam family "5.8S ribosomal RNA", at positions 35 to 154 of the family's 154-position model. The record is from RNAcentral.
GAUGAAGAACGCAGCGAAAUGCGAUAAGUAGUGUGAAUUGCAGAAUUCAGUGAAUCAUCGAAUCUUUGAACGCACCUUGCGCCUUUUGGUAUUCCGAAAGGCAUGCCUGUUUGAGUGUCAUGAAACAUCAAUCCCGUCGGGUUUCCGACUGGAUUGGAUUUGGGUGUUGCCGUUUGGCUCACCUUGAAAAUGUUAGCGGGUCCGUGCGCUCGAAUCGACGUAAUAAGUUUCGUCGUGUAGAGUUUAUCGUCCGCUCCUAAUCGCCUUUGGGCAACUUUUGUACUCUGACCUCAAAUCAGGUAGGGCUACCCGCUGAACUUAAGCAUAUCAAUAAGCGGAGGA